GACGAACGCUGGCGGCGUGCUUAACACAUGCAAGUCACGGGGGCCCGCAAGGGCAACCGGCGAACGGGUGCGUAACACGUGAACAACCUGCCCUCGUGUGGGGGAUAGCCAUGCUAACGCGUGGGUAAUACCGCAUACGUUCCCCUGGAGGAGUCUCUGGGGAGGAAAGCUCCGGCGCGACGGGGAGGGGUUCGCGGCCUAUCAGCUAGUUGG
RNAcentral lists this ribosomal RNA (213 nucleotides) under uncultured bacterium. Its description in RNAcentral is "partial 16S ribosomal RNA". It matches the Rfam family "Bacterial small subunit ribosomal RNA", at positions 28 to 252 of the family's 1533-position model. The record is from RNAcentral.